UACGGAGGAUGCAAGCGUUAUCCGGAUUUAUUGGGUUUAAAGGGUGCGUAGGCGGAAUAAUAAGUCAGUGGUGAAAUCUUGCGGCUUAACCGUAAAAUUGCCAUUGAUACUGCUAUUCUUGAGUGCAGUUGAGGUAGGCGGAAUGUGUAAUGUAGCGGUGAAAUGCUUAGAUAUUACACAGAACACCGAUUGCGUAGGCAGCUUACUAAACUGUAACUGACGCUGAGGCACGAAAGCGUGGGGAGCAAAC
RNAcentral lists this ribosomal RNA (250 nucleotides) under uncultured bacterium. RNAcentral's name for it is "partial 16S ribosomal RNA". It matches the Rfam family "Bacterial small subunit ribosomal RNA", at positions 524 to 773 of the family's 1533-position model. The record is from RNAcentral.